RNAcentral lists this transfer RNA (84 nucleotides) under Candidatus Pacearchaeota archaeon. RNAcentral describes it as "tRNA-Leu". It matches the Rfam family "tRNA". From Rfam's summary of the family: Transfer RNA (tRNA) molecules are approximately 80 nucleotides in length. Lineage: Archaea; Nanobdellati. The record is from RNAcentral.
GCAGGGAUAGCCAAGCGGUCAAAGGCGACAGACUCAAAAUCUGUUGGCUUAGUGCCUUCGUAGGUUCGAUUCCUACUCCCUGCA